AAUCAGCAGCUAAGGCACCCAUUUGCUGUAUUGGGUCAAAAUCUCCACAAUGCGAAUAACUUGGUGCAACCUCAGGUCAACAAGGUUAAGGAUGUCUCCGAUGAUGGUAAAUCACCUGCAAAGUGGAUUUUUAUGAUAGUUACAUUAUUUUUCAGUUUAGCCAAAACUGUAUGUAUAUUCAGUCCUCUAUAAUUGUUCUCGUAAUAUAGCAUUUUGCAUUCUUCUUCUCCUUUAUUCAUUUGCAGCUCAGAGUUAUAGAACUCAAGGAACAUUUCUCAAAAAGGAUGAUCCUAAGAUAACUGCUUUGAUGCAGCAAGCGGAGCUACUCAGCUCACUUGCAUUGAAGGUUAACACAGACGGUACAGAAGAGAGUCUGGAAAAUGCUUGGAAGGUGAGAUAUGAUUUUAGUUUCUAUCUUGUUUUUGUUUUAUCAUCAAUUCAACAUCCAAUAAUACUAUCAACAUGUUGCUUCUCCAUAGGUAAAGUGCUAAAAUUUAAAUAUUGUGGGGUUUAUAGUUCAAUCUAUGCACUGUAUGUCCCUAACUUUCAUCCUAAUAAAUUUUAUUUCCAGGUCCUUCAAGAUUUUUUGAAUCAGAGUAAAGAAAAUGACACCUUCAGAUAUACAAUCUCUGAUAUUGAUUUUCAAAUUGAAGAUUUCAAAGACUUGCUUGAGGAUUUAAGGAGUAGUAAUGAGGGAAGUCAACAAUCUUGGAGGUAACAGAUAAAUCAGUUAAAGUUCAGAUUUAGUAAGGUUUCAUACUCACCACUAACUGAUGAUUAAUGUGUUGCAGGCAACCUGAUCUCUAUGAGGUAUCUCCUUCCAGUUCUGAAUACAGUACAGGGUCAACAAUUAUGCCUCAUCCAGCUGGGGAACGAGGAGAAAAGACUCAGGCUAAAAUAGAUGAACUGCACCCAGAUAUAUUGUCAAAUCAUAUUGGAGAGCAGAAUUGCAGUACCGAGGAGGAAACAAGGGCUCUUUCCAGUGCAAACAAAAAUCAUGGUAAUGAAAUUCUAUAUCUGGUAUAAAGGCCGAGGAAUUCCUUGCUUGUAACCACGCAGUGGUUAAUUAAGAUAAAAUGAUGUUUCUGAAAAAAUGUGUCUAUGUUACCACAGGCGAGAUGAUAUCAUCGUCUGAUGACCAAACGAACAUUAUCGUUGCUUCUACCUCAUCAAGCGCAGAGUUCAGUUCCCCAGUCCAAGUUACCCCACUUUUCAGAUCUCUAGCAGCUGGAAUUCCCAGCCCAAAAUUUUCAGAAAGUGUAAGUUAUCUUCAACUGUUUGGUUUACCAAUAUAUCCAUUUAAUAGAAGUAGGAGCAGUAGCAUUAUUAGAAUUUGCAGUAGCAGGUAGUACCAAUUAUUAUCUUUCUCAAGACCAUGAUUCCAUAGGCAGUUUUAGUUGUGAGCUUACGAGUGUCUACUAAUAAAACUGCUUUGGAUUACUAGUUAUGGAUCCAUUUAUACCAGCAAUCACAGCAAGACAUUAAUUUGCUUUUGAGCCACUGUUAAUAGGUCUCUUGAACCAUUUCUAGGACUUAGAGCUUGUUAGUCAAUAAAUACUAGGAGCACUUUGGGUUAACUAGUUGUCAAAGCUUUAGUAGCUUCAGUGGUAACUGAUUAUAACAUCUUUGAAAAUGAUAAUGCAGAAGCUGCUACUAGAUUCUUGUUUGACAGUCAUUGAUCUAGAACUGUUAGCAAGUCUUAGUAUUGCAUGAUUUAGUUGGAAAUUGGACCACGAAGCUAUUUUUCUUGAAAAGGCAUGCAUUUUAGUGCCUCAUUAUUUUCCAUCAGUUAGCUAGACUCUGCUUCUGCCUUACUUACCAGUAUAUUAGAUAGACCUGUGGCUGCUGUGAACUUUUCCAUUAUGCAAGAGAGCUUUAUUUCCUGUCAAAUGCAAUUUAAGUUCUCCACGUCUAUUGAUACAGUAAAUUUUAUAAGAAUUUUCAUCAGCAGACUUAUUCAAGAACUAAAGUUGCCAAAUUCAACCUAAGAGCAAGUUUAAAGCCGUAGGACUUUAGUUGUUUUUCACUUUUGAUGAACCUAAAAAAGUAAUGAAACCAAGUAAAGCUCCUGGCCAUUGCCUAAGGAAGCUUUGUUGACAGUACUCCUUGAUAGUUAAAAAAAGAAAGAAGAUUUAAGUGAAUCAUAAUUCAUACAAGUUGAAAUUAUAGUCUGAAUGGUAGUUUUCAUAAUUCAUACAAGUUGAAAUUAUAGUCUGAAUGGUAGUUUUUCUAAGUAAAGGAGAGUUGUGCAAUUGGAAAUUUACUUAAAAAAAAGGGUUCUAGGAUAUUAUUCGUACACGUGUGGUAAUUACUGGUUUGGUUCUUACUGAGUCCACUUUCUUUACUUUUAUUGUUGUUUUCCUUUCUAUAAUCUAUCUACCAUAGACGUAAAAGCAUGCAGACGCAUAUAAGAGUCUGAUCAAGUUUUUGUUUGAUUUGCAGGAAAGGAACUUCCUACUUAAGACACUUGGCAUGGAAUCACCUUCUCCCAGUCCAGCAAAUAAUCUUUCACAACCACCACCUUGCAAACGAGCCCUGCUCCAUAGUCUAUAACAAACCUAUGGUCAUCUCUUAUACUGAAAAUCAUAUCAGUCUAAUAGUCCCAUAUUUCAUCAUUUAUUCCCUGGAGCCACAUAGCUCAUGUUGAGUUUUCGUCCCUUUUUUUUUUUUCGAUUUGUCCAAGGAUUGCAGCCAUCUUGGCCUGGAAUUUUACAAGGCAUUUAAUGAUCUGCACUCCCAGCUCCCUUGCUUAGAAUGUUUUGGUACAUUCUAGCUUCUCAGAUACAUCCAAUAAGAUGUCCUGAGUUUCAUUAAUUUUUCUCUCUAAUUUCCUAGAGAGUACUACCUUAAUACUCACAUUAAAAUCAGUGUGUGCUUUGUUAGUGUGUCAAUUCUUUUGUUUGUCAUCUCAUCCGAGUGGUUUCGGGUAUCUCUUCUCUCAUCAUUCAGAUCCAGUUUUUGUUCUUGAUUUGUAAUCUUGUACAGAACCUACUAUAUAAGAUAAAUCCUUAGAGUGUAAUUAAUACAUUGGCGAGUUGCCUACAUAUGAUAAAGAACAGAGGAAAAAGUAAAAAAAAAAAAAAAGAAACAGAAAAUAUGAGGAUCAACACCUUGAUGUUUUUGGGCGUGCAGAGGGUAUAGAAUAAGUUUUUAUUUAUUUAUUUAGUGGAUUUCUAUUCUGAUUUCUAAUGUAAUCGAACUCGAUAUGAUUUGAGUGAAAGGUGUUUUGGCUUUGGUGUGACUUAAGCUCUUGGUUCUCUCUUAUUUGAUUUCAUGCAUCAUGAUAUCUAAAUAGAUAGAAUAUUUGCUACACAGGUGAAAACAUGAUGCAGCAGUUAUCAAAUGAAAUGUAAAGUAAACUAGUUCAUUAAAAGAGAAAAUGAGAAUGUAAAGUGUUAAGCAGCAUACUUACAGAGAAUACAGAAGAACAUCCAUGUUCUCUCUCUGACCAACCGACCCUUUUUUCACUUCUGAUUUCCAACCAAAACUGUGUAGUCUCA
This 3500-nucleotide long non-coding RNA is filed under the name Gossypium barbadense (sea-island cotton). Its description in RNAcentral is "long non-coding RNA (GBAR_LNC002327)". Lineage: Eukaryota; Viridiplantae; Streptophyta; Magnoliopsida; Malvales; Malvaceae. The record is from RNAcentral.